UCAAUUCCAAUGAUGGUGAAGAGUAAUUUUGAUCCCACAUGAAAAGAGAGGAAACGCCCUGGGCUGAAAACGUUUCUACAUGUGCCUUAAUGAACGAACACACCGUAGGAUUCUCCCUGAAAAAUCACGUAUCUAGUAGGGGUUGAACGUUCACAGGCGUUAACUGUUAAAGUGGGGAGGCUUUUAUGUCUCCAACUAGGGUGGCACCGCGGGUAACAACUCCCGUCCCUUGC
This 233-nucleotide non-coding RNA is filed under the name Bacillus sp. (in: firmicutes). Its description in RNAcentral is "Bacillus sp. T-box sequence". It matches the Rfam family "T-box leader". Rfam says of the family: Uncharged tRNA acts as the effector for transcription antitermination of genes in the T-box leader family. T-boxes are found upstream of many aminoacyl-tRNA synthetase genes and some amino acid biosynthetic genes usually in Gram-positive bacteria. The anticodon of a specific tRNA base pairs to a specifier sequence within the T-box motif, and the NCCA acceptor tail of the tRNA base pairs to a conserved bulge in the T-box antiterminator hairpin. The record is from RNAcentral. Lineage: Bacteria; Bacillati; Bacillota; Bacilli; Caryophanales; Bacillaceae.